UCUUUUACUAUGGAUAGCCUGCAUUGCCAUUAAUUUUGUUACUGACAAUAAUUCCAAUUUUUGUAUCUUUAUGGUUUCAUAUGUUUGAAUCAGUUUUCCCAAAUUAUUUGCUGCUGAACAAUCUCAAAACCAGGACUUCUUGUCAAGUGCCAAAUCAAGUUCAAAGGUAACUAUUGACUGUCAUUCACAUGGGCAACAAAGCUCUACAUCAACUUUGACAUUACAAAAGUCACAAAGGAAAUUAUGCCAAAAGGACAUCCUAAAGGACUGGAUAGAUAACUUUCUUACACAAUAGAAAAAUAGUUGCUGAAAUAGAAGACUUGGAUGCAUAUAAAAUGCUUAAGAAUUAUGCACCAAGUUCCAUUCUUCAUACCCUUUUCUUAUUUACUUAAUUUUCUGUUUUAUUUCAAAUUAUGAGAGAUUUAAUUUUCUAUAUUUAGGCUAUGGUUUUGUAAUCUGAGCAUCCUAAGACUCUUAUAUCAACAUGAAUUUAAGUUUUGUAAUAUAUGUGAUUCUAAUUUUGAACUCAGUUAUAAUUGUA
Molecule: long non-coding RNA, 541 nt
Organism: Quercus lobata
Lineage: Eukaryota; Viridiplantae; Streptophyta; Magnoliopsida; Fagales; Fagaceae
Exons: 2
Source: RefSeq, a predicted model, not a curated record